UGGGGAAUAUUGCACAAUGGGCGCAAGCCUGAUGCAGCCAUGCCGCGUGUGUGAAGAAGGCCUUCGGGUUGUAAAGCACUUUCAGCGAGGAGGAAGGGUAGUGUGUUAAUAGCACAUUGCAUUGACGUUACUCGCAGAAGAAGCACCGGCUAACUCCGUGCCAGCAGCCGCGGUAAUACGGAGGGUGCAAGCGUUAAUCGGAAUUACUGGGCGUAAAGCGCACGCAGGCGGUUUGUUAAGUCAGAUGUGAAAUCCCCGCGCUUAACGUGGGAACUGCAUUUGAAACUGGCAAGCUAGAGUCUUGUAGAGGGGGGUAGAAUUCCAGGUGUAGCGGUGAAAUGCGUAGAGAUCUGGAGGAAUAACGGUGGCGAAGGCGGCCCCCUGGACAAAGACUGACGCUCAGGUGCGAAAGCGUGGGGAGCAAACA
This 427-nucleotide ribosomal RNA is filed under the name uncultured bacterium. RNAcentral's name for it is "partial 16S ribosomal RNA". It matches the Rfam family "Bacterial small subunit ribosomal RNA", at positions 355 to 774 of the family's 1533-position model. The record is from RNAcentral.